RNAcentral lists this ribosomal RNA (492 nucleotides) under uncultured bacterium. Its description in RNAcentral is "partial 16S ribosomal RNA". It matches the Rfam family "Bacterial small subunit ribosomal RNA", at positions 29 to 507 of the family's 1533-position model. The record is from RNAcentral.
AGUGAACGCUGGCGGUAGGCCUAACACAUGCAAGUCGAACGGCAGCACAGUAAGAGCUUGCUCUUACGGGUGGCGAGUGGCGGACGGGUGAGGAAUACAUCGGAAUCUACUUUUUCGUGGGGGAUAACGUAGGGAAACUUACGCUAAUACCGCAUACGACCUACGGGUGAAAGCAGGGGAUCUUCGGACCUUGCGCGAUUGAAUGAGCCGAUGUCGGAUUAGCUAGUUGGCGGGGUAAAGGCCCACCUAGGCGACGAUCCGUAGCUGGUCUGAGAGGAUGAUCAGCCACACUGGAACUGAGACACGGUCCAGACUCCUACGGGAGGCAGCAGUGGGGAAUAUUGGACAAUGGGCGCAAGCCUGAUCCAGCCAUACCGCGUGGGUGAAGAAGGCCUUCGGGUUGUAAAGCCCUUUUGUUGGGAAAGAAAAGCAGCAGGUUGAUACCCCGCUGUUCUGACGGUACCCAAAGAAUAAGCACCGGCUAACUUCGUG